AAUGCUUUCGUAGUUCAAUUUGUUACUCGUUCAAUGAAAUAACUCACUCUGUUCGAUGUUAUAAGGGAACAGAAUGAAAAUGAGCUGUUCAAUAUUCGUUUUUGGCUUCUUUUAAAUCGAUUCAAUUCCUCUAAUUAUCAACAGUUAGUUUGUGUAAAAUCGUUUUUGCUUAUUUGAAAUACUAUAAUUUUCGUUUCUGCUUUCCUAUGAUUAGGUUGAUCUGCAAGCACAUGAUAGAACUCAUGGAAUUGGACAGAAGGAGUGGAAUUGAAGUUUAUUAACAGCUAGUUUGUGUAUAAUAUAGUCUCAAAGGCUCAUUAUUGCUUUAUGAGAAACUAUACCUAAUGUUAGGGCUAAUAUGCUAGAUUAAUCAUUUCUCUGUAGCUUCAAGCUUAAGUUCUUAUGUGUGAAUUUCUGUUCCUUAUGUGUAUAUUUCCAUUUCUUGUUUUGGUCUGCCUACUAACAAACACAUCAUAAAGAGUUUCUUCAUACAAUUUAAAUAAGUUGUAUUUGGUUUUGUAGAACCUGUUUUUACUCAUGAUGUGUUUGAUAUCUUGUCAUCAUGCAGUUCAAGGGAGUCUCAAGGGACAUGAUGAUUGGUCUGGCAAUUCCUCCUUGUAUGGUAAAACCUACUACUCUGACACAUGACACAUCAAAGGAAGUCUAACCAAUAAAAAACACUCGUGAAAUUGUGCAAUUUGUGCAGAGUACAAGUAAGAUACCAUGCCCCUCUUUUCUGAUAGUAAAUUCUAAUUCCUAAAAAUUUAUCUUUAGCAUGUCUAUGGUAUUUGGUUAUAUUUCACUUAAUAAUAUGAUCUAUGUCCAAAUACAACAAGUUGUCACGUGUACCUUUGCUAAUAAUACAAUAAUUAACCACAUGGAAAAGGCUAUUAACUACAGUUAGUUGACUAAUUAUUUUGAUGCUGUCCUAUACUUAAUACCCAUAAGGCUAACAGUUUUUAUUUUUAUUACCCUGUAGAUGUUUUACUGUGUUGUUUGCAAAGUAAGUUAUUAAGUUAUGCUUUCUUGAUGGGACCACAAAUAUAGAUCCUCAUUAUUGUUCGUUGCAUGUAAAUUUGGAUAUGAAUUUAACAUCUAAUAAUCUGUUUAACAAAUAGACAUCAUAUAUUCAUUACAUGAUCAUUUCUAGAUUUUGCACAGACCAUUUGUGAAUCAGGUUUGGUCUGUUAUGCCUGAGUAAACCUUCGAUUUAUUAAUGUUCUUUGUGAUGUUUUCUGUGCUCUCUGUUAUACCUGAGUAAACUUUAGAAACUAAAUCUUUUAAUAAAUAAACCUUUCAAUUAAAACGUCCUAUUUUGAGUCACACUUGCAGGCAUUUUUUAGAGAGUUUGCAUUCUACAACACCAUGUAUAACCUUUUGAUUAUAAAUCUUUAGAUCACCUUCUGUACAGAUUUUUCCCCACACAUGGAUUUCCGAAUAACAUUUGGAAAUUGGAAGGAAAAAAAACGUUAUCAGGUGGGGAGUUGGAGUAACGCGCUAAGUCAUGGAUGGCAACUUUUGGAUUUUGGCAAUAAAUAUCUGAAGGGAAGCCCUUAAUUGGUUCAAGGUAAGUUCUUAUUCUAGCUAGACUUAAAAAGGGAUAUUGGGGCUGCAAUUUCUGAAGAGGACUAUCCAGUUCUUGAAGCACAAGCCAUUAAAGUGGUUCUUCAGCCACAAAAGCAAAAGAAGAAAAAGAAGCCAAGGGGUCAAAAAUCAUGCUCCAUUCUGUAACUUUGUGCACAAGAUUUUUAGUAUGAAUUGAAGGGAACAUGGGAAGAAAGUUUGACUUUUCAAUGCUGAAUGCUCAAGUGUUGAUCACUGUGGCCUUUAUAUAGUUUUUGAUGAAUUUGCUCACUUUUAUUGUGUCUUGUGUUGUGUAAGUUGAUAUAUGGAAUUUUUUAACACCAAAUAGUUGAGACUUUGGGGACUAUUUGGGUAAUGUAUAAUAUGGUUUUAUCUUAUGUAGAUUGUGGAAAGAUGUUGAUUUUAAGAGGGUUGAAAAUGAAGUUACUUUUGAAUGGUUA
Non-coding RNA from Lactuca sativa (garden lettuce), 2024 nucleotides. The record is from RefSeq and is a predicted model, not a curated record. NCBI's taxonomy places the organism in Eukaryota, Viridiplantae, Streptophyta, Magnoliopsida, Asterales, Asteraceae.